UGGCCUGUAGCUCAGUUUGGAUAGAGCGCCGCACUCCUAAUGCGGAUGUCGAGGGUUCAAAUCCUUCCAGGCCCG
Molecule: transfer RNA, 75 nt
Filed under: Candidatus Pacearchaeota archaeon
Lineage: Archaea; Nanobdellati
Description: tRNA-Arg
Rfam family: tRNA
About the family: Transfer RNA (tRNA) molecules are approximately 80 nucleotides in length. Their secondary structure includes four short double-helical elements and three loops (D, anti-codon, and T loops). Further hydrogen bonds mediate the characteristic L-shaped molecular structure. tRNAs have two regions of fundamental functional importance: the anti-codon, which is responsible for specific mRNA codon recognition, and the 3' end, to which the tRNAs corresponding amino acid is attached (by aminoacyl-tRNA synthetases). tRNAs cope with the degeneracy of the genetic code in two manners: having more than one tRNA (with a specific anti-codon) for a particular amino acid; and 'wobble' base-pairing, i.e. permitting non-standard base-pairing at the 3rd anti-codon position.
Source: RNAcentral